This 840-nucleotide ribosomal RNA is filed under the name uncultured bacterium. RNAcentral's name for it is "bacterial SSU rRNA". It matches the Rfam family "Bacterial small subunit ribosomal RNA", at positions 84 to 959 of the family's 1533-position model. The record is from RNAcentral.
CGGUGGCGGAACCGGCGCACGGGUGCGUAACACGUGGGAAUCUACACCGAGGUAUGGAACAACGCAUGGAAACGUGUGCUAAUACCAUAUAAUGGCUCCGGCCCAAAGCUCCGGCGCCUCGGGAUGAGCCCGCGCCUGAUUAGGUAGAUGGUAGGGUAAUGGCCUACCAUGCCUACGAUCAGUAGCUGGUCUGAGAGGAUGAUCAGCCACACUGGUACUGAGACACGGACCAGACUCCUACGGGAGGCAGCAGUGAGGAAUAUUGCGCAAUGGAGGAAACUCUGACGCAGCCAUGCCGCGUGAGUGAAGAAGGCCUUAGGGUUGUAAAACUCUUUCAGUGGUGAAGAUGAUGACGGUAACCACAGAAGAAGCUCCGGCUAACUUCGUGCCAGCAGCCGCGGUAAUACGAAGGGGGCGAGCGUUGUUCGGAAUCACUGGGCUUAAAGCGUGCGUAGGCGGUUUUUCAAGUCAGGAGUGAAAUCCCGGGGCUCAACCCCGGAACUGCUCUUGAAACUGGAAAACUAGAGUCCCGGAGAGGUUGGCGGAAUUCCGAGUGUAGAGGUGAAAUUCGCAGAUAUUCGGAGGAGCACCAGUGGCGUAGGCGGCCAACUGGACGGGUACUGACGCUGAGGUACGAAAGCGUGGGGAGCAAACAGGAUUAGAUACCCUGGUAGUCCACGCCGUAAACGAUGUGUGUUAGUUGUUGGGAGUCUUCGACUCUCAGUGACGGAGAGAAAUCAUUAAACACACCGCCUGGGGAGUACGGUCGCAAGAUUAAAACUCAAAGGAAUUGACGGGGACCCGCACAAGCGGUGGAGCAUGUUCUUUAAUUCGACGCAA